UGUACUUUCGCUUUCGCUUUAUGUGUUCACCAGUUGUGUAAACGUGGUUAUAUAACGCAGAAAGUUUGCCUCAGCCACAUUUGAGCUUUUCGGGACUUUUUCAAGUUAAGUCUUUUCAUUCUUCAGAUUUACAUUUACUACCAGAACCUGUGCCGUUAGACCUUUAUCAUUUGGCCAUGGAAUUUCUGAAGUCAUACAAGGAGGACCUGUGCAAGUGGUUAUCGACGAAGGAUGCUGAGUUUAUCAUUGACAAGUGUGACGAUCUCCUCACAGCUAAACAGGAUAAGGCUAUUCGCAAUCAAAACACGCAUCCAGGGAAGAUCAGUCUUCUUUUGGAGACAUUCAUUGAAAUGGAAGAAAGUACAUGUCAGGACUUCCUUAAGAUUCUGAAGGAAGAGCAGACACAUUAUCCAGGCCUUCAACAACAUUUCAGCAAGCGCACACAAGCUUCAUCCAGCCCAACGGUGUAUGCGGAUUGCAACAGCACUGUUGAUACCAGGAAAGUCACCAAUGUCCACGGUAUUAAAGACUUAGACAUGCAUGUAACCGUUCAAGCAGGAUCGAGGAAUCGAUCUGGAAUGAACGUCAGCCAACCACCCCCACACGCAGAAGUGGUUGCAACAGAACACAGCCAUAUAUUUGCAUCAGAGAUAUCGAACUGUACAAUCGAUGGCAACCUCAAUAUGUCUGUGAUGCAGGUCCCAGCCCCUCAGGCCCCACGGUGUCCAGUGCCACCAAAGCAAACAGAAGAUGUGUCCUCUUCUCAGGGCCCUGCCAUGAAAAUGAUCAUUGAGAAUAAGGUGAAACUCAUCGACUGGCUCCGAGCAGAUUCUGGCUUCAUUCUUCAACAUGUGCACUCCAAACGUAUUGUUACCGAUAGAGAGUAUCAAGAGCUGAAGAGCAUCUCAGUACCAGAGGCUGCUGUGACUGACCUGAUUGACAAGAUGAUUCUCAAAAAGGAAGAGACAUGCUCUCAGUUUCUUGAUACUCUCAAAGAAAGUGAGGUGAAGGAUACCUAUCCCGAACUUAAGAAGUGGAUUACCACCACAUUCUGACUAGGACCAUCACAGCCCAACAACAUGACAUAUUCUCCAUCGAUCUCUUCAAUUUCAGACAAACGUGGGUUUUUGAAAAGAAACCGCACAGCUCUGGUUAGCCAGGUGAAAAACGUGAAGGCCAUUGUCGAUGAUCUGCAGAGUGGAGGUUGUCAUGAUGAAAUGGCUGCCAACGUGAAUGCCCAGUUGACACCACAAGAAAUGAUGAGGAAGCUCCUGGAUAGCGCGACCAGCACCGGGGCUGCUAACGCCCUGAUUCAAGCCCUUUUAACUCAUCAGAAGGAUGUCAUGGAUGACCUGAUUGCUGAAAAUGCUUGAAGAGGUCAAUUGGUUCUUCAUUAUAAUUGAUCUAUUUUUUUACAUCACUUUCUUAUUCAUCUUAGCCACCAGCCUGGUCUCAUAGACUAGUAAACUUACAUCUGGGACACUCAGAAUAGUAUAAUAUGCUACAGUACAUUUGGUACUGUAUGUUUACAUUAAAUGAAUGUAGAGUGGUUGGUUAGGGUGGAUGAGUAUGAUGCAACCUGUCAACUACUUACUACUUUGAACCUACUUAGCAUGUUAGCUAACCCUUCCCCUAAUUCUUAACCCUAAUCUUAACUCCUAACACUAACCCUAGCUAACAUUAGCCACAACAAAUUGGAAUUCAUAACAUAUCAUACGUUCUGCAAAUUGGUAACAUAUAUUACAUAUUGAAAUUCAUCACAUAUCAUACAAAUUGUAAUUUGUAACAUAUCAUAGGAAAUGGAUGAUGGACAUCCACAAAUUAAUACAUUCCAUAGGAAAGGUAACAUAUCAUACUAAUUGGCUGUCCCAGAUAUAUAUUUACUCUGUUACGUCUACCCCUGAGUCCAGGUUGUUGCCACAUGUAAUUAUUGGUGGUGGUGCUAUUUUUUAUUGACAAAACCGGGACAAUAUAAUCUUUUAAGGGAAACAUUUUUAUAAAUAAUGCAAGACAAUAUAUUUUGAUUAUGUUGACUAUGGUUCUUUACAUUCCAAAUAUAUAAUGUAACGGUGCAGUUUGAAGAUUUACCACCACAUGACCUUUAAAUUAAAUGUUGUUGAACUACUUACGUUGUCAACCUCCAAGAAGGAGAGGUCCAAUAAAUUAGACUGAAAUAAACGUCUGUAGGCCUAUAAACAUCUGUAGGCCUAUAAACAUCUGUAGGCCUAUAAACAUCUGUAGGCCUAUUGUAACGGAAUUCUUUGUCCUCCGCUGGCGAGUAUGAAAUGUCGUACCAAUGUGCAGCGUGGUAUGUGUUAAUGAUGAUUUCUUUUACUGAACACUGAAAAUAAACAAAAACCGAAACAGUC
RNA transcript from Oncorhynchus keta (chum salmon), 2369 nucleotides. RefSeq lists it as uncharacterized. Lineage: Eukaryota; Metazoa; Chordata; Actinopteri; Salmoniformes; Salmonidae. The transcript is spliced from 8 exons. The record is from RefSeq and is a predicted model, not a curated record.